GGGGGGAGUAAACCUUCCCGAAAAGGAAGGGCUAAUACCGCAUAAGACCACGGCCUCGAAAGGGGCUGCGGUCAAAGCAGGCCUCUUCAUGAAAGCUUGCACCUGAGGAUCAGCCCGCGGCCCAUCAGCUAGUUGGUAGGGUAACGGCCUACCAAGGCUAAGACGGGUAGCUGGUCUGAAAGGAUGAUCAGCCACGCUGGAACUGAGACACGGUCCAG
RNAcentral lists this ribosomal RNA (218 nucleotides) under uncultured bacterium. Its description in RNAcentral is "partial 16S ribosomal RNA". It matches the Rfam family "Bacterial small subunit ribosomal RNA", at positions 134 to 334 of the family's 1533-position model. The record is from RNAcentral.